GACGAACGCUGGCGGCGUGCUUAACACAUGCAAGUCGAGCGGAGCGGCGAACGGGUGAGCAACGCGUGAGUAACUGCCCCCCUCUCCGGGAGAACAGUUGGAAACGGGUGCUAAAACCGGAUAGUGGGGGAUGACUCGGGCCAUAUCAGCUUGUUGGUGGGGUAGUGGCCUAGCAAGGCGACGACGGGUAGCCGGCCUGAGAGGGCGACCGGCCACAUUGGUCUGAGAUACGGCCCAAAGUCCUACGGGAGGCAGCAGUGGGGAAUAGUGCACAAUGGGGGAAACCCUGAUGCAGCAACGCCGCGUGCGGGAUGACGGCCUUCGGGUUGGAAACCGCUUUCAGCGAUGACGCGGUAGUGGCAGAAGAAGCACCGGCUAACUACGUGCCAGCAGCCGCGGUAAUUC
RNAcentral lists this ribosomal RNA (405 nucleotides) under uncultured bacterium. Its description in RNAcentral is "partial 16S ribosomal RNA". It matches the Rfam family "Bacterial small subunit ribosomal RNA", at positions 28 to 526 of the family's 1533-position model. The record is from RNAcentral.